GAGUUUGAUCAUUGCUCAGAGCGAACGCUGGCGGCAGGCUUAACACAUGCAAGUCGAGCGGGCGUAGCAAUACGUCAGCGGCAGACGGGUGAGUAACACGUGGGAACGUACCUUUUGGUUCGGAACAACUGAGGGGAAACUUCAGCUAAUACCGGAUAAGCCCUAACGGGGAAAGAUUUAUCGCCGAAAGAUCGGCCCGCGUCUGAUUAGCUAGUUGGUGAGGUAAUGGCUCACCAAGGCGACGAUCAGUAGCUGGUCUGAGAGGAUGAUCAGCCACACUGGGACUGAGACACGGCCCAGACUCCUACGGGAGGCAGCAGUGGGGAAUAUUGGACAAUGGGGGCAACCCUGAUCCAGCCAUGCCGCGUGAGUGAUGAAGGCCCUAGGGUUGUAAAGCUCUUUUGUGCGGGAAGAUAAUGACGGUACCGCAAGAAUAAGCCCCGACUAACUUCGUGCCAGCCGCCGCAGUAAG
Molecule: ribosomal RNA, 472 nt
Filed under: uncultured microorganism
Description: bacterial SSU rRNA
Rfam family: Bacterial small subunit ribosomal RNA
Source: RNAcentral